Non-coding RNA from Phalacrocorax carbo (great cormorant), 388 nucleotides. NCBI's taxonomy places the organism in Eukaryota, Metazoa, Chordata, Aves, Suliformes, Phalacrocoracidae. The record is from RefSeq and is a predicted model, not a curated record.
AGUGGUCUUUUCCUCCACUUUUACCCCAAAAAUGAGGUAAAAAUAUGGGGAUUUAUAGUUUUGGGCCCAAAACUGAGGUGAAAAACGAGGAAUUUGGGGAGUUUUAGCCCAAAAGUGAGGCGGAAAAUGGAGAUUCAGAGAGUUUUGGGCCCAAAAUUGAGGUGGAAAAUGGAGAUUCAGAGAGUUUUGGGCCCAAAAUUGAGGUGGAAAAUGGAGAUUUACCAUCUUGGGCCCAAAAGCAAGGUAAAAAAAGAGGCAUUUAGUGAGGUUUGUCCCAAAAAAUUGGGUGAAAAAAGGAAGAUUUAGGGUGUUUUGGGCCUAAAUUGAGGUGGGAAAGGGGGAUGUAGGGAAUUGCAGUCCCCAAAAUGAGGUGAAAAAGGGAGGUUUA